GUCUUCAAACGCACCAUGCUAUCCACACACGGUGAGGAGAAUUAUCUCAACUGUUUUUAAGUUUUAAAGUGCCAGCGAACAGAAAGAACAAACCAAAUCACUUUCUUUUCAAGGAUAUCUGAGAAAUCUGGCCACACCUCAUUUUUAAAAGCAUAACAUGUGAGUGACCAGGACAGAAUUCUUUCCCUGGAUUCCCUGAGAGAAUGUCUCACUAAAUAAUGUCUCGGCCGUGACUCAUCGGCUCAGGAUCCGACCCAGACGAGGUCUUGCUGUAUUUCCCAUGCUGGUCCUAAACUCCUGGCCUCAAGUGAUCCUCCUGCCUCAGCCUCCCAAACUGUCGGAAUUGCAGAUGGAGCCUGAGUUUUAUCAUUAUCAAUUCGAAUACAUCAUGUCAACAAGAGGUUUACUUCAUUUUCCUGGAGAAUUCACUGAGAGUUGAAGGUCAAGGUGCUUCAAAUAUCAUGAGAGGUGGCUGGGCAAGUGGCUCACGCCUGUAAGUCCCAGCACUUUGGGAAGCUGAGGCGGACAGAUCAGCUGAGAUCAGAAGUUGGAGAUCAGCCUGGGCAACAUGGUGAAACCCCAUCUCUACUAAAAAUACGAAAAUUAGCCGGGUGUGGUGGCACAUACCUAUAACCUCAGCUAUUUGAGAAGCCAAGGCUGAGAGUUGCUUAAACCCUGGAGAAGGAGGUUGCAGUGAGCUGAGAUCAUGCCACUGUACUCCAGCAUGGGGGACAGAGUGAGACUUCAUCUCAAAAAAAAAAACAAAACAAAACUAAAAAAUCAUCAGAGGCCACCGGAUUUGUUGGAAAUGCACUAACCGUGGCCAUCCUGUGUGUUGUCACACACAUGCUUGCUGUCUGUGGAACUGCAACACUGAAAGGUGAAUUUCAGGGUCUGCAUAUACAGUUUGAUUGGAACACAGCUAUGCUCAUUCUGUGUGGAAGGUUUUGUGUGACAAUGCUAGAGGUCAGUAAUUGCAACCGAGGCUACAUGGCCUAUAAAACCUAAAGAAUUUGCUAUUUGGCUCUUUACAAAAAAUUUGCUGACCAACUACCCUAUGACAAUAAUUCAAAGACAUACACACCUCCUUAGCCUCACUGAAGCAAUGGCCAGUUUUCAGUCCUGAGUACAUACCAACCUGUAGGCUGUCUCAAAACUCACCUCCCUGCUAUUCUGCCUGGAACAUUCUUCUCUCUCCUAGCCAUUUUUCCGUGUGAUCGCGUUUAUUCUUCAGACAAUGUCACCUAAUGGGAAAAUACUUCUCUGAACACCGGUCUAAAACAGGUCCUCCCUGUUAUUUAUUUAUUUUUUGAGACAGAAUCUAUUGCCCCGGCUGGAGUGCAGUGGCGUGAUCUUGGCUCACUGCAACCUCCGCCUCCCAGGUUCCAGUGAUUCUCCUGCCUCAGCCUCCUGAGUAGCUGGGAUUACAGGCACCCAUUGUCAUGCUGGGAUAAUUUUUGUAUUUUUGGUAGUGAUGGGGUUUUACCAUGUUGACCAGGCUGGUCUUGGACUCCUGACCUCAAGUGAUCCACCAGCCUUGGCCUCCCAAAGUGCUGGUAUUAUAGGCAUAAGCCACUGCGCCUGACCCUCCCUGUUACUCUUCACGAUAGUUUCCUGCUCUUUUCCAUGACAGUCCUGCCUAUGGUUUGUAAUGAUUGAGUCUUCUUGUUUAAAGUUCUUGUCCUCUUUACUCUGUAAACUCCCUGUCAAUAGAAACUACGCAUGUCUUAUCACGAUAGGUAAAAAAUGUGGGCUUUGAAGUCAGAUGGCCUCGAUUUGAAUCCUGGCUCUGUUACUUAUAAGUCAUGGAAGCUUGGGUAAGUCACUUCACCUCUUGGCUUCUCAGUUUUCUCAUCUGUAAAAUGGAUGCAAUCAUUAACUACUGCAUUAAGUUCUGAAGGUUAAAUGAGUUGAUGCAGACAAAUCAGUAAGAACAAUACCUGCUCAUCAUAAGCACUUGAUAAGAGUUAUUAAUACUCAAAACUUUAUCUUCAAGGUCUUGUACAAAAGAGCUGAAUGAGUAUCCCUUAACAGUGCAGCAUUUUUUCUGAAUGAAGCAUUUGUGGAAUGAAGGUUUUAUCUAGAUGAAUAAAUAAAUAUCUCCCACCUUUCUUCUCUUUAAUCAUAUGCUGCCGUACUGAAACAUUACGAGCCUCUAAUUUCAUUUAGCACAUGAAAGACAAUGAUUAACCUUGAUUUACAAAACAAACUUGAAUCAGUAAUGCAAGAGUUUGAACUUUUAAAAAAAUUAAAUUCCCCCCCUCCCCCAGGAUAGUGUUAGUAUGCCAUGGCCAGAGUAAAACCUAUAAAUAUCAUGAGGCCUACAUUAAUGCCACAAUAAUGCAAAAAAUCACUCCAAGACUCAGUGGCUUAAAAUGGUAAUUAUUUAUUCUCACAUAAACAUUUGCAAGUUAGCUGGUGUUUGGAUGACCUAGAGUAGGGGGUCUGGGCUGGGCUUCAAGUUACCGGCUGUGUCCAAGUUUGCUCCAGUUGGCUUCCAUCUUCCUGGGACACAGGCAUGUGCAUCUCAAGGCGAUGUCGGAAGUGCAGGAGAGCCAGGCCCACCAUGCAAAUCCACAGUGGUUUUGCUGGCAUCAUGCUUGCCAACAUCUUACUGGCCAACAGUCACAUGACCAAGUCCAACAUCCUUAAGUCAAGGAAGGAUAUUCCUCCAAAGUGGGGAGGAGUAAAAAAUUCCUGAACACAAAUCCGAACUAUCUCAAGACCUGUACCCAAAUAAAAAUUAAAACUAACAUGUAAAGGUAUGUUUUCUUUUUUUGAGACAGAGUUUCGCUCUUGUUGCCCAGGCUGGAGUGCAAUGGCACGCUCUCAGCUCACUGCAAUCUCCCUGUUCUGGGUUUGAGCAAUUCUCCUGCCUCAGCCUCCCGAGUAGCUGGGAAUACAGGUGCCCACCACCACACCUGGCUAAAUUUUGUAUUUUCAGUAGAGACAGGGUUUCACCAUCUUGGCCAGGCUGGUCUUGAACUCCUGACCUCAUGAUCCACCCGCCUUGGCCUCCCAAAGUGCUGUGAUUACAGGCGUGGUUUUGUAUGUAUUUCAACAUACAAAAAAAUCUGUAUGUUGAAAUUUAAAUGAACUUUCCUCAAUUUUCUUGUUGUGUCAUUUGGCCAGUAGGGCAGGAGUCCCGUGUUAUCUCUGCUUUUCUGGUCCUUGAAGCAUGUGCUUCGUCUGCAUAAGGGGCAAAUCAGACCUGUUUCUGUUUCUAUCCUAGCACCCCUCACGCAGCAGAUAUUUGAUAAAGCUGGUGGAAGACAAUUGUUGAAUUCUAUAAAUAUAUGGCAAUUGCAUCAGUACAUGCUAUAUUUGUUUUACGGAAAUUUAGGGUCACUGUAGGUAUUGUGUGUUUCUACAUCAAAGCUUCAAAAACAGUUCUGGGGUGUGGAGGUGCACACAGCUUCUACUGCCAAGACACACACUCUGCAGCACUCCAGAUACGAAAUAAAACAAGAGGAUUUCUUCCUUUCCAGUUAAAGAGCAAUCUUAAAAGGCAUCCAAGAAAAGUUGGCUCUGUUUUCUGAAUUUCUAGUUGGGAGAACAAAAGCAGCAAGGGAAAGUUUGACUUGACUUCCUCUACAAUUUGUUUAUAUCAUCGGAGCGGAGAGAAUCUCUGGGCUGGGCUCUCCACUUCCUGAAUGAAGAGAGAGAGAAAAAAAUGCCCGUGUGUCAAAUUCAUUGAGAUGUGCAAAGUGAUCAGCAAAAAUCCGGAUCGACUGGAGCCCAAAAGGCAAAGGAAAAAUGUUCCUCAAUUCAGCUGCUAUCUGGCAAGAGAGCUGCACAGUCCUGGUGGCGAGUGUCACCAAAUACCUCCUCUUCCGCCACAGAAAGGACGGGCGGUGAGGGUGCAACCUCUACUGGCCUGUUGCUAUGGAGUCGGGCUAAUCCAAGAACAUGAUUCAGUCAAUCUAAUCCAAAGACAGAAGUGCUAGCAAUGGAAUAGCACUGAAAUUAUAAAUAUUUACUUGAAAAUAAUGCUCAAGCCAGACUUAACUGAAAGGGUAAGGUUCUGUUUACUUCUCUUGGUAGUAGCCAGCUGAAACAACCAAACCAGUUAAGCAACAUUUUUUUUUUUUUUUUGGUCAGGUAUGUUCUGAAUCACUGGCAGCAAACUUCUGGGAUUUUAGGAGAGAGGUUCUCUCUCUCUCUCUGCUCUGGGCAGAAUGCCUGUUUUUGUUUUGUUUAAGGGAAAAAACAACAACAGAACUUGAGGCUGGCUGAGCUUAUUAGAUUAUUGAUUAUCACUGUUAGUUUCCUGAUGCUUCUAUUGUUGGGGGUGGUAAGGGAGAUGAGGACAAGAAUCUAAAUGAUAAAUACCCAGGCUUCUCUCUUCUUCGUGAAAUCUCCCCUGUGAGGUUUUCCAGCUUGCCUUCCCAUAACUUGAUUCUGUUGAGGUCUGAGAAUAUUGAAACUGGUGGGUGAAAAGGGUUAAAAAUGCAGCUUAGCAGUGAAUGCAUUCGGCUUUAGCACUCUUACGGGAGGCUGUGAUUUCAUUGGCCUUGGAAUACCAGAGGGAAUUACAAAACAUUCAGAGAGAAGAGAUAGUGUGCAGAUAGAGUGGGAACAGAAUCGAGUGAUAAAGAGAACCAGGCUAAGGGCGGCUACUUUGCUCUGAAGGGUGGGUCGUUCUUGCUAAAGUCCGUUUCUUGGUGAAUUACGGUGGUAGCUCAGAGCUGGGUAAGAGGAGAAAAUGCCAUCCAAUAAGGGUGGAGGCAGUCUGAAAGAUGAAUAAUAUAACAUGCAGUGACUUCAAACUUCACGCUUUCUUACCGAAAGGUUUUCUUCCAGUUUGGAAGGCAAGUUUCAAUGGAUUCUCUUGUCUAAUCCCUGCUUCCUGCCAGGCUGCUCUGUUGG
Molecule: long non-coding RNA, 4869 nt
Organism: Callithrix jacchus (white-tufted-ear marmoset)
Lineage: Eukaryota; Metazoa; Chordata; Mammalia; Primates; Cebidae
Source: RefSeq, a predicted model, not a curated record